Molecule: long non-coding RNA, 1887 nt
Filed under: Sus scrofa (pig)
Lineage: Eukaryota; Metazoa; Chordata; Mammalia; Artiodactyla; Suidae
Description: lncRNA (ENSSSCG00005019670.1)
Source: RNAcentral
CCCGCCGCCCAAGCCCGGCCCCGCCCGAGGCCGAGGGCCCGCCUCGUACAUGGGAUCUACGGGGACGCUGAUGGGCGCCCACGAUGGCUCUCGGGACCCAAGAGAGACGCUGUCCAAAAGCCAGGACGCGGACGUGCCGGGCGGGCCUGAGAGCCUGACCUUCCGGGAGCGCCAGCGCCUCUUCUCCCAGGGCCACGAGGUCUCCAGUAAGGUGAAAGCCUCCCGCCGGCUGACGGAGCUGGAGAACGAGCUGAACACCAAGUGAGCGGCCCGAGCGCCUCCGAGGAGGGCACCCGCCUCCCAGGGCGGCGUUGGGAGUGUGCCCGCGCUCAGAAGUGCUUGACUUUCACAGGAGACUCUGGUUGAUACAGUUCUCUGACUCCCAUGCAGACGGCUUUUUUGUGAGUUUCCUUCUUAGAUCCUGGGCUGGGGGAGCGGACUGGAGGGCCAUGGGGGUGGGGAGUCCGCCCCUCCCCGCCACGCAGCACAAAGUCGCCCUCUCUGUUCUUCAAAAACCCGGUUCGGCUCUCGAACAGCAAAGCCUCCCAGAUGUGCGUGCGUGCGUGCGUCGGGAGCGUCAGGUCUUCUCCGCCAGGAGGGCGCUUGUCUGUAGGAGACCCGCCCCGAGCUCAGCACCAAGCUCCCAAAGGGACGCUGCUCCCUCCUGUCCCAACAGGGCAGCCCCCGGGGUAGCUCUGAGCGUCCGAUUGGAAAAGCUUCUCCCAGAAAAUGUUAGGGUUCCAGCCUGGGAGAUUUUAGGUUUAUAAAUACCAGAUGGCUGUUACACCAGCAAAGCCUUGGGGGCUUGGAAGACGACAGUCCAGUUAGUGCACGAGCUGUUCCAAGUGUUCCGAGGGAGUCUGUCCUGAGCUGAACAGUGGCGUGGACGUGAUUAGGAACAGAAACACCUGAGAAGACUGGGCGCUUCGGAGGCGACAUGGAGCACAGCCCUGCUCAGAGAUGCAAAACGCGAACCCUCGGUUUCCAGGCUCUGCUGUCAGGGCGCCAGGGAGAGGAAGGGUGUGGUGGCACAGGGCGCCUGUCACUUAAAUGCUGUAAGAGUAACUCGUGUGGCGGUUCCGGCUAUUUUUCUACAUUCUGAUAGAGUUAUUUAAUUUUCAUGUACUGAUCAUUAGUUACCACUGUCACUUCUUCCGCUGUGAACACGGGGCUGCUGUCAGGGAGCCGCGCCUCGCUCUGUUCUCUGACACGCGAUGUUCCGACACUAAAUGACCUUGUGCCCACGGGCCAAUUGUCCAUCUGAUGUGCGCGCUGUGGCCCUGGAUGGUUGUCUGUGCCAUGUCAUUCUCUCCCACGCGGGCACACUUUCCAGCAGAGACGCAGAGGCUCUCCAGCCCCGGAAGUCACUUGCCUGAGCGCUGUGUGAGAACUCGUGAGGGCACGAGUGUAAGUAACGGCCGUGUCUGUCGGGGCUCUGCUUUGGAAGUGUGCUGUGCCCACGCCACGCAGGGGAGUGAGACGGCGCCACGUGCUCAUGAAGGAUUGCAUGCUUGCUCCCGAAGUGCCAGGCAGAGCGGGCCCUCCCGAGUUCUCGGCAACCCCGCAGCCUUGGAGGACUAAAUCCACACUUUCUUUGAAGAAGAAGCCGCAGGCGAACGAUGUUUCUGUUAAUACAUAGAAAAACAACAAACACACCUGAGUACAUGCAAAUACAUGUAAAUACCUACGUGCAGGGAUAUUUGUAUGUGUGGUGGUAAACCUGUAACACGUGGAUUCGGCCGUCCUCGGACGAGGGGCCAGAUGUGAAAAUGUGUGAGAGUGCUUUUCUUGACUGCGUUCCUGGGGAGAGGACAUCAAACUGCUGUAGUUUCCAUUUCUACUGUAUUUCAUUCGCAGCCUAUUUUUAAUAAACUUUGUAUGUAUUUA